UACAGAGGGUGCAAGCGUUAAUCGGAAUUACUGGGCGUAAAGCGCACGUAGGUGGCUUGGUAAGUUGGAUGUGAAAUCCCCGGGCUUAACUUGGGAAUUGCAUUCAAGACUGCCUUGCUAGAGUGUGGAAGAGGGAAGCGGAAUUCCAGGUGUAGCGGUGAAAUGCGUAGAUAUCUGGAGGAACAUCAGUGGCGAAGGCGGCUUCCUGGUCCAACACUGACACUGAGGUGCGAAAGCGUGGGGAGCAAACAGG
Molecule: ribosomal RNA, 253 nt
Filed under: uncultured bacterium
Lineage: Bacteria
Description: partial 16S ribosomal RNA
Rfam family: Bacterial small subunit ribosomal RNA
Source: RNAcentral